Molecule: ribosomal RNA, 497 nt
Filed under: uncultured bacterium
Lineage: Bacteria
Description: partial 16S ribosomal RNA
Rfam family: Bacterial small subunit ribosomal RNA
Source: RNAcentral
GACGAACGCUGGCGGCGUGCUUAAUACAUGCAAGUCGAGCGCUGACGGAUGGUACUUGUGCCAACUGGGUGAGCAGCGAACGGGUGAGUAACGCGUGGGGAAUCUGCCUUUGAGUGGGGGACAAUAUCUGGAAACGAAUGAUAAUACCGCAUAAAAACUUCAAACACAGGAUGCAAGGUUGAAAGAUGCCAUUGCAUCACUAAAAGACGAUCCCGCGUUGUAUUAGCUAGUUGGUGAGGUAAAGGCGCACCAAGGCGAGGAUACAUAGCCGACCUGAGAGGGUGAGCGGCCACAUUGGGACUGUGACACGGGCCAAACUCCCACAGGAGGGAGCGGUAGGGGAACUUUGGGAAUGGGCGAGAGACUGUGCGCGCGACGCCGCGCGAGUGUAGAGGGGUGUCGGGUCGUAUAACUCUGUUUGUAGGGAAAAAAGUUGGUGAGAGUGGAACGCUGAUCAAGUGACGGUAACUACACAGAAAGCAACGGCUAACUACGUG